RNAcentral lists this ribosomal RNA (448 nucleotides) under Batotheca sp. USNMENT00680162a. RNAcentral describes it as "partial 28S ribosomal RNA". Lineage: Eukaryota; Metazoa; Arthropoda; Insecta; Hymenoptera; Braconidae. The record is from RNAcentral.
CCUGAGAAACCCAAAAGAUCGAAAGAGGAGAUUCAUCGUCAGCUCAUAAUGUAUAUUUAUAAGUUAUGAUACGAGUUACUAUUUUAUAGUAUUGCUUGUACAUUCUUAUAUUAUUUAGUUGCAAUAUGUUGUCGGCGUGCACUUCUCCUCUAGUAGAACGUCGUGACCCGUUAAAUGUCGGUUUACGAUUCAAGUGAUAGACUUUAAUAUAUUAUUUUAUAUUAAAGAUCCUUGUAAUUUUCUAACCGUCUAUUUAUCGGUAUUCUUAUAGUAUUAAGCCGCAAUAAAUAUGCGUUCAUACCCGUCGCAAGCGAGGCUAAUUUCUAAUAUUAUGGACUUAGUGCCAUCAUUAGUAUUUGCCAGCUGUUGGUUGUAACGGUGUUUCUAGAACUGGCUAAAAAUAUUAUUAUUACUGGUUAGCGAUGCUACUGCNUUGGGUACUUUCAGG